UAUCCUACGGGACGCAGCAGUGGGAAAUAUUGGGCAAUGGGCGCAAGCCUGACCCAGCAACGCCGCGUGAAGGAAGAAGGCUUUCGGGUUGUAAACUUCUUUUGACAGGGAAGAGUAGAAGACGGUACCUGUCGAAUAAGCCACGGCUAACUACGUGCCAGCAGCCGCGGUAAUACGUAGGUGGCAAGCGUUGUCCGGAUUUACUGGGUGUAAAGGGCGAGUAGGCGGGAUUGCAAGUCAGAUGUGAAAACUAUGGGCUCAACCGAUAGAGUGCAUUUGAAACUGCAGUUCUUGAGUGAUGGAGA
RNAcentral lists this ribosomal RNA (305 nucleotides) under uncultured bacterium. Its description in RNAcentral is "bacterial SSU rRNA". It matches the Rfam family "Bacterial small subunit ribosomal RNA", at positions 335 to 655 of the family's 1533-position model. The record is from RNAcentral.